AGAUGUCAUGCAUGACUGCAUCAGUUUUGGGUUUGAAUUGCUAGAUUUAAAUUUAUAUUAUGUAUACAAAAUCAUGCGUGUGUUAGGGUGUGUAUAAAAUUCGAACAAAAAAGCACAAGGUCAAGGUGUUUGUUUGGCCAUAUGCCCAUCAUGUAAUAUGAAUAUUGAACACCGUUUUAUAUAGUACGUUUAAAACGUUAUUUCCAUGCCGGAUAAUCCCGAAUCCUUCUCUGAUUACAUGUGUGGCAAAUGACGAAAAAUAAUUAUGUAAAAUAAUUAACUAAUAUGUCUUCGGCCAUGAAUGCAACUCACUAGCUAUGCUGCUUACAUCUGACAAUCAAAACUAUAUGCAUGACUGUAUGGCCCAAUGUAUGUUUGAGGGAAAUUUUUGUUUUCAGAUUACAGUAUAACAACAAUAUUUCCUGCAUUCCAAUAUAUUUUCUACAUGCAAGUGCACCUGGGUUAAAAUUCUGAUUUAUCAAUAUAUUGCUAUACAUAUGCACAUUAAAAAUAUGAGUUUUCCAGUUCAAUAUAUCUAUAACAGGAGGCUUAAACCAGAAUUUCAGAAUACAAAAGCAACUUUUAUGUCAUUUUUGUAAUGGUUUGUUUAAAAUUCAUUUUUAUACAGACGUGGUAGGGUGUCGCCUGGCUAGAAGCCUGCAUAUACAUAUACAAAUUUUCAGUUUUGUCAAUAAUAAUAAUUUAUUUAUAAUUCAAUUCUUACAAGGUUUGCAAUAAGACAACAGAAUAAGUAUUCUACUCUGAACUGUUGACAGGAAACAGUAAAUUCAUGAUCUCAUCCAAUAUGAUAUAAGAAUUUGAGACCUCGGGCAUACUGACUUAAGUUGGUGUGUGAAAUUCAGUGAAGUCCCCUGCAGCCAGGACAAAAUGGCAAGGUAAAUUUCUCCUGUCCUAUCAUCACUAGGUAUUCAACUGGAAUUUUCACUUGAAAUUUCCCAAACCAUUCCUUUACUGUCCUGUAAAAGCCUUUCCUAGCUGACUGCUUUAUUUCAGCAUUUAUAUACAGCAGAUAAAAGACUAAGUGACCCCCCCCCCUUGACCUCACUCAUUCCCCAACUUGGACACUGAAAGUAAGUGUCUUCCCUGUUUGCCAAGAAAUGAUAAACCAGUUGAAUAGGAGGCAAUUGUCCUUGCAUUCCCCUCUGGUAUGCCAAAGGUGCAGGAAUUCAAAUGACUGGUGCAAUUGAAUAUGCUUAUAAGCUUAUUCACUGUAUUUAAAUAAUUAAAAGCUAUUAAAAUUACUCACUAAUAAUACAACUGAAAAAUUCAGAAAUAGUAAAAUACAC
This is a non-coding RNA of Paramuricea clavata, 1307 nucleotides long. The record is from the annotation of a GenBank genome assembly. NCBI's taxonomy places the organism in Eukaryota, Metazoa, Cnidaria, Anthozoa, Malacalcyonacea, Plexauridae.